This 222-nucleotide long non-coding RNA is filed under the name Capsicum annuum. RNAcentral describes it as "long non-coding RNA (CANN_LNC002998)". Lineage: Eukaryota; Viridiplantae; Streptophyta; Magnoliopsida; Solanales; Solanaceae. The record is from RNAcentral.
AAAGCGGCUGAAGCAGAUUAGCCAAGAUAUCAAACCCCAGCUGAUUGUGCCAUGUAGGGGCUACCAUGGUUAGCUCCAACGCCAUUGCAAAUGGUACAAAAUUGAGAUUCAAUGGAGGAUUACGUACCAGACAUAUAAAAAUAGUUCCGAUGCAAUCUUGGAUAUCCAUCUCCAAUAGAUGCUGCCUAAAUCUCAUUUUUACAACAAAAAUCAAUUGUAGCC